GGAGGUGUUGCUGAGUGGUUGAA
Molecule: transfer RNA, 23 nt
Filed under: Lessonia flavicans
Lineage: Eukaryota; Phaeophyceae; Laminariales; Lessoniaceae
Also listed under: 1 other name
Description: partial tRNA-Ser
Source: RNAcentral